This 1189-nucleotide long non-coding RNA is filed under the name Cyanistes caeruleus (blue tit). Its description in RNAcentral is "lncRNA (ENSCCEG00000000994.1)". The record is from RNAcentral. Lineage: Eukaryota; Metazoa; Chordata; Aves; Passeriformes; Paridae.
UGCUAUUUUUUGCCCCAAAAUCACCAUUUUUCGCCCCCAAAGUCCCAAAAUCCCCAUUUUUUGCCCCAAAAUCAUCAAUUUUAUGCCCAAAAUCCCCAUUUUCCACCCCAAAAAUCCCCAUUUCUCACCCCAAAAUCCCCAUUUCUCGCCCCAAAAUUGCCAUUUUUCGCCCCAAAAUCGACAUUUUUUACCCCAAAAUCCCCAUUUCUCACCCCAAAAUCCCCAUUUCUGGCCCCAAAAUCCCCAUUUCUCACCCCAAAAUCCCCAUUUCUCACCCCAAAAUCCCCAUUUUUUGACCCAAAAUCCCCGUUUUUCCCCUCCAAAGCCCCAAAAUCCCCAUUUCUGACCCCAAAAUCGCCAUUUUUCACCCCAAAAUUGCCAUUUUUCACCUCCAAAGCCCCAAAAUCCCUGUUUUUUCACCCCCAAAAUCCGCAUUUUUCACCCCCAAAACCCCAAAAUCCCCAUUUUUCACCCCCAAAAUCACCAUUUUUCAUCCCAAAAUCGCCAUUUUUUGCCCCAAAAUCACCAUUUUUCACCCCAAAAUCCCCAUUUUUCACCCCAAAAUCCCCAUUUCUCACCCUAAAAUCACCAUUUCUCAUCCCAAAAUUGCCAUUUUUCACCCCAAAAUCCCCAUUUUUCAUCCCCAAAAUCCCCAUUUUUCAUCCCCAAAAUCCCCAUUUCUCCCCCCAAAAUCCCCAUUUCUCACCCCAAAAUCCCCAUUUUUCGACCCAAAACCCCCGUUUUUCCCCUCCAAAGCCCCAAAAUCCCCAUUUCUCACCCCAAAAUCCCCAUUUUCCCCCCCAAGCCCCAAAAUCGCCGUUUUUCACCCCAAACCUUUCAGCAGCUCCUGGGUGACGUUGAAGGCGCUCUCGAGGCUCCCGGGCUCGUCCAGGUCGGGGCAGGAAUCGCCCAACUGGGCAAAGACCUGGGCCAGGGCCGAGCCCCCGAGGCGGUGCCGGCCUGGGGACAGCUGAACCCACAGCAGGGACCCUAAAAACCCCAAAAACACCAAAAUUACACCCAAAAUCCACCCAAAAACCCAAAAUCAGCACCAAAAUCCACCCAAAAAUGGGGAAAUUCCACCCAAAAACACCCGGGCAAAGACCUGGGCCAGGGCCGAGCCCGGGGACAGCUGAACCCACAGCAGGGACCCUAAAAACCCAAAAACACCAAAAUCUGACCCAAAAAC